CGAAAAAUAAUUUUUCGUGGCGUACGGGUGAGUAAUACACAGGAAUCUGCCUUUUAGUUCAGGAUAAAAUUCUGAAUAACAAAAGAAAACUUUUCGCUAAAAGAUGAGCCUGUGUAGGAUUAGGUAGUUGGUAUUUGGGUAAAGGCCUACCAAGCCUAUGAUCCUUAGCUGUUCUGAGAGGUUGUACAGCCACACUGGGACUGAGACAAGGCCCAGGCUUCAUUUGGAGCCAGCAGUGAGGAAUUUUGGACAAUGAGCGAAAGCUUGAUCCAGCAAUACUACAUGAGUGAUGAAGGCUUUCAAGUUGUAAAACUCUUUGGUUGAGGAGGAUAAUGACAGUACUCAACAAAAUAGCCCCGGCUAACUUCGUGCCAGCAGCCGCGGUAAUACGAAGGGGGCGAGCGUUAUCCGGAAUGACUGGGCGUAAAGGGUCCGUAGGCAGCAUUUUUUGUUAGAGGUUAAAUAAAAAAGCUUAACUUUUUUCCGCUUCUAAAACGUAAAUGCUUUGAGUUUGAUAGGAGAUAGCAGAAUUUCACAUGGAGGGGUGAUAUCCGUAGAUAUGUGAAGGAAUACCAGAGGCGAAGGCGGCUAUCUAGAUCAAUACUGACGUUGAGGGACGAAAGCAUGGGGAGCAAACAGGAUUAGAUACCCUGGUAGUCCAUGCCCUAAAAGAUGAGUGCUCGUGCUUAGAUAUUUUUAGGCACUUAGUUAACACGUUAAGCACUCCGCCUGGGGAGUACGACCGCAAGGUUGGAACUCAAAGGAAUUGACGGGGGCCUAUACAAGUGGUGGAGCAUGUGGUUUAAUGCGACAAUACGCGCGAAACCUUACCAGUUCUUGACAUAAAAAAGAAAAAGUUUGAAAGGACAAUUUUUGAAGAUUUUUACAGGGUGCUGCAUGGCCUGUCGUCAGCUCGUGUCGUGAGAUGUUAGUUAACUCCUUUUAACGGGCGAACCCUUUUCUUAGUUGCCACUUAAAUUUAUUUUAA
Molecule: ribosomal RNA, 988 nt
Filed under: uncultured eukaryote
Lineage: Eukaryota
Description: bacterial SSU rRNA
Rfam family: Bacterial small subunit ribosomal RNA
Source: RNAcentral